GCGCUGACGGCUGCGGCGCCCGCGGCUCCCCAGUGCCCCGAGUGCCCCGCGUGCCCCGCGAGCGGGAGUGGGACCCAGCCCUAGGCAGAACCCAGGCGCCGCGCCCGGGACGCCAGCGGAGAGAGCCACUCCCGCCCACGUCCCAUUUCGCCCCUCGCGUCCGGAGUCCCCGUGGCCAGGGUUUCACUUCCAUCGCCCAGGCUGGAGUGCAAUGGCGUGAUCUGGGCUCACUGCAACCUCCACCUCCCAGGCUCAAAUGAUUCUCCUGCCUCAGCCUCCUGAGUAGAGUAGCUGGGACCACAGUCGCAUGCCAUGGUGCUCGGCUAAUUUUUUUGUAUUUUAUUUUUGUAACGACAGGGUCUCAUUAUGUUGCCCAGGCUGGUCUCAAACUUCUGAGCUCAAAUGAUCUGGCUGCGUCAGCCUCCCAAAGUGCUGGGAUUAUAGGCAUGGGCCACUGUGCCUGGCCUCAUCUUUUCAUUUUAAAGAAUAUAUCAGCAGGGAUUAUUGGACCUGCCUGGUUUAAACUAUUGUCUUAGUUAAUUUUGUGCUGCUCUAACAAAAUAUCACAGACUGAGUAAUUUAUAAGCAAUAGUAGCUUAUUUGGCUCACAGUUCUGGAGGCUGAGAAGAUCGUGAGGCUGCAUCUGGCAAGGGCCUUCUUGCUGCUUCAUAACAUGGCAGAAGACAUCACGUGGGUGUGUGUCUGGGGAAGAGACUUACAGAAGUGGAGUUGCUGAGUCAAGGAUCUAACCAUGAGCUACCCUGGCUAUCCCCCGCCCC
Molecule: small RNA, 779 nt
Filed under: Pan troglodytes (chimpanzee)
Lineage: Eukaryota; Metazoa; Chordata; Mammalia; Primates; Hominidae
Description: processed transcript
Source: RNAcentral